UCCCUCUUAGCUCAGUGGUAGAGCGCGUCACUAGUACCUCUCACUAUGACGAGGUCAGUCGUUCAAGUCGGCUAGAGGGAA
Non-coding RNA from Tricholoma furcatifolium, 81 nucleotides. NCBI's taxonomy places the organism in Eukaryota, Fungi, Basidiomycota, Agaricomycetes, Agaricales, Tricholomataceae. The record is from the annotation of a GenBank genome assembly.